Ribosomal RNA from Ochotona princeps (American pika), 121 nucleotides. The record is from Ensembl. Lineage: Eukaryota; Metazoa; Chordata; Mammalia; Lagomorpha; Ochotonidae.
UCUAUGGCCAUACCACCCUGAAUGCGCCCGAUCUCGUCUGAUCUCGGAAGCUAAGCAGGGUCGGGCCUGGUUAGUACUUGGAUGGGAGAAAACCUAAAGGCUUAUUUGUUUGUUUUUAGAU